Molecule: long non-coding RNA, 999 nt
Filed under: Ricinus communis (castor bean)
Lineage: Eukaryota; Viridiplantae; Streptophyta; Magnoliopsida; Malpighiales; Euphorbiaceae
Description: long non-coding RNA (RCOM_LNC003347)
Source: RNAcentral
AUAAAAAUAAAAAUUCAACUCAACUAACCGUCUUUACAAGAGCUGUGAAGCGGACGAUGAAAACCCUAAUUGGCAACUAAAAUCAACAAGCAGCUAAUCACAAUCACGAAAUCCUUAACCUCAGUUACAAUCAAAGGAAUACAAAAAAAAAAAAGAAAAAAAAAAAACCACUCUAGUCAAUUAAGAAAAGAAGACCUUAAAAUAAAAAGUUUCUAAAAGCAAAAUUCACAUUCUCAAUAGCAUCAGAGUCCAUACAUAGACCCUUCAACUCCACGCAAAAAAAAAAACAAAAAAAGCAAAAAGUAAGAACAAAACAGAGAAUAUGGAAUUGUGAGGCGGUAUAACAUAAAGAGAUCUCCGAAUCCCAAAAUAGAAAAUGGUAAACAAAUAAAAGAAUCACAACAUAAAGCAUAAAAGGAACAUUCAAACAGAAGAUAAGAAAAAGAAAGUUAUUAAACAAAAAGAAGAAAAACUAACAAUAAAAUUCCGUACGGUGUAUUCUGUACAAGAAUUCUUAGGGUUUGGAUUGAAAGCUGAAGGCAUGCUUCUUCUUGUGUCUCUGUUUAGGAAGGAUUUUGAGUUUGUUUCUUUCUCGCUCUAGAAGCUUUAAAAUAAAUAAUAUGUUUAUAUAUAAGAAAUCAGAAUUAGAAAUUUCAGUAGAGCUCGAGCGAACGAUCAGAGCUCGAGCUCUUUCUUCAUUCUCUCUCUAAGACAGCAAUUUCUCUCUCUAAUAUCUCUUUUUCUUAGUUUGGCUGUGUCAUGUGCGUAUAGGGUGGCUCUGCAACUAAAAGAGCUUAUUAGCAGUACUAGCUUUUCUUCUUUUCUUUUUCUUUUCUUUUUUUCUUAUUACUCCUUACUUUGCCUUUUUUUUUUUGUGCGUGUACGGGUGAGUAUAGCAGGUGGUGAAGGAGGGAAGACUCAAAGAGAGAAGCGGGGCGGUGGGGCCCAUAUUCUUCGGGUCUGGUCCCACUCUGUUUCUUCUUUAACCUACACUUCUUU